UGAGGAGUUCAGGCUGGGACAUGAAUUGCUCUGUUGGUGUCCAGUGUUAAUUUGGCCACCACAGUGGUCUGAGUAGGUUUCCUCUUCCUUACUGCUCAAUAGACAUCCUUCCUUGGCUGAAGAGAAUGAUCUACCUGAGAGAAGAGGGCGCUCUGUGGUUAAUAAUAUAAGAAUGGUAGGCCUCUCUUGCUGAUAUCUCCAAGCUGCCUCCCAUGUGUACAGCAGUUACUUUGUUUCUUUUCAUAAUAUUGUACCUGUUUGUGGACCAAAACCUGGAGACAA
RNAcentral lists this small RNA (282 nucleotides) under Dasypus novemcinctus (nine-banded armadillo). RNAcentral describes it as "7SK RNA (ENSDNOG00000030388.1)". Lineage: Eukaryota; Metazoa; Chordata; Mammalia; Cingulata; Dasypodidae. The record is from RNAcentral.